AUACGGAGGAUGCGAGCGUUAUCCGGAUUUAUUGGGUUUAAAGGGAGCGUAGGUGGGAUAUUAAGUCAGCUGUGAAAGUUUGGGGCUCAACCUUAAAAUUGCAGUUGAUACUGGUUUCCUUGAGUACGGUAUAGGUGGGAGGAAUUCGUGGUGUAGCGGUGAAAUGCUUAGAUAUCACGAAGAACUCCGAUCGCGAAGGCAGCUCACCGGGCCGGAACUGACACUGAUGCUCGAAAGUGCGGGUAUCAAACAGGAUUAGAUACCCUGGUAGUCCGCACAGUAAACGAUGAAUACUCGCUGUUUGCGAUACACUGUAAGCGGCCAAGCGAAAGCGUUAAGUAUUCCACCUGGGGAGUACGCCGGCAACGGUGAAACUCAAAUGAAUUGGCGGGG
This 393-nucleotide ribosomal RNA is filed under the name uncultured bacterium. RNAcentral describes it as "partial 16S ribosomal RNA". It matches the Rfam family "Bacterial small subunit ribosomal RNA", at positions 523 to 918 of the family's 1533-position model. The record is from RNAcentral.